This 406-nucleotide ribosomal RNA is filed under the name uncultured bacterium. RNAcentral describes it as "partial 16S ribosomal RNA". It matches the Rfam family "Bacterial small subunit ribosomal RNA", at positions 30 to 526 of the family's 1533-position model. The record is from RNAcentral.
AUUGAACGCUGGCGGCAGGCCUAACACAUGCAAGUCGAACGAGUGGCGGACGGGUGAGUAAUGUCUGGGAAACUGCCAGAUGGAGGGGGAUAACUACUGGAAACGGGAGCUAAUACCGCAUACCAUCGGAUGUGCCCAGAUGGGAUUAGGUAGGAGGUGGGGUAACGGCUCACCUAGGCGACGAUCCCUAGCUGGUCUGAGAGGAUGAACAGCCACACUGGAACUGAGACACGGUCCAGAAGCCUACGUGAGGCAGCAGUGGGGAAUAUUGCACAAUGGGCGCAAGCCUGAUGCAGCCAUGCCGCGUGUAUGAAGAAGGCCUUCGGGUUGUAAAGUACUUUCAGCGGGGAGGCGUUACUCGCAGAAGAAGCACCGGCUAACUCCGUGCCAGCCGCCGCGGUAAUUC